Molecule: ribosomal RNA, 253 nt
Filed under: uncultured bacterium
Lineage: Bacteria
Description: partial 16S ribosomal RNA
Rfam family: Bacterial small subunit ribosomal RNA
Source: RNAcentral
UACGUAGGGUGCAAGCGUUGUCCGGAAUUAUUGGGCGUAAAGAGCUCGUAGGCGGUUUGUCGCGUCUGCUGUGAAAUCCCGAGGCUCAACCUCGGGUCUGCAGUGGGUACGGGCAGACUAGAGUGCGGUAGGGGAGAUUGGAACUCCUGGUGUAGCGGUGGAAUGCGCAGAUAUCAGGAAGAACACCGAUGGCGAAGGCAGAUCUCUGGGCCGAUACUGACGCUGAGGAGCGAAAGCGUGGGGAGCAAACAGG